Mycena rebaudengoi is the source of this 95-nucleotide non-coding RNA. The record is from the annotation of a GenBank genome assembly. Lineage: Eukaryota; Fungi; Basidiomycota; Agaricomycetes; Agaricales; Mycenaceae.
ACCCUCGUAGAUGAAUUGGUAAAUCGCUCACCAUUGAUAUUAAGUGUGUUGUUCGAUGUGAAUGAGAGGCGGGGGUUCGACUCCCCCGGAGGGCA